UGAACUCCUGGUUAUCUCUCCUGUCCCUAAACCCUCCCUCUCUGUAUCAUGUGAUCCUGAGAUGACCUACUGUAACCUCACCUGUCAUGGCAGCACCACAGAUGCUGAACCAGUCACCUACUGGUGGACAGCAGGUGAAAAGAGGUGGAAUUCAACCAAUGAGCACAAAAUAACAAAGAAAGAUAAGGAGUGGUGGUUCAGCUGUGAACUUAAAAACCCAGUCAGC
Scomber japonicus (chub mackerel) is the source of this 226-nucleotide long non-coding RNA. RefSeq lists it as uncharacterized. NCBI's taxonomy places the organism in Eukaryota, Metazoa, Chordata, Actinopteri, Scombriformes, Scombridae. The transcript has 3 exons. The record is from RefSeq and is a predicted model, not a curated record.